This 429-nucleotide ribosomal RNA is filed under the name Bacteroidota bacterium. RNAcentral describes it as "Bacteroidetes bacterium partial 16S ribosomal RNA". It matches the Rfam family "Bacterial small subunit ribosomal RNA", at positions 355 to 776 of the family's 1533-position model. Lineage: Bacteria; Pseudomonadati; Bacteroidota. The record is from RNAcentral.
UAGGGAAUCUUCGGCAAUGGGGGGAACCCUGACCGAGCAACGCCGCGUGAGUGAAGAAGGUUUUCGGAUCGUAAAGCUCUGUUGUUAAGGAAGAACGAGUGUGAGAAUGGAAAGUUCAUACUGUGACGGUACUUAACCAGAAAGGGACGGCUAACUACGUGCCAGCAGCCGCGGUAAUACGUAGGUCCCGAGCGUUGUCCGGAUUUAUUGGGCGUAAAGCGAGCGCAGGCGGUUAGAUAAGUCUGAAGUUAAAGGCAGUGGCUCAACCAUUGUAGGCUUUGGAAACUGUUUAACUUGAGUGCAGAAGGGGAGAGUGGAAUUCCAUGUGUAGCGGUGAUAUGCGUAGAUAUAUGGAGGAACACCGGUGGCGAAAGCGGCUCUCUGGUCUGUAACUGACGCUGAGGCUCGAAAGCGUGGGGAGCGAACAGG